Molecule: transfer RNA, 82 nt
Filed under: Candidatus Latescibacterota bacterium
Lineage: Bacteria; Pseudomonadati; Candidatus Latescibacterota
Description: Candidatus Latescibacteria bacterium tRNA-Ser
Source: RNAcentral
GCGGUGACAAUCACUUGUAGUUUUGGUCCUCUUCGGCCUCCGGAGCCGGGUGUCGGACGUUCGAGUCGUCUCGGGCGCGCCA